This 203-nucleotide long non-coding RNA is filed under the name Vigna radiata. RNAcentral's name for it is "long non-coding RNA (VRAD_LNC008882)". The record is from RNAcentral. Lineage: Eukaryota; Viridiplantae; Streptophyta; Magnoliopsida; Fabales; Fabaceae.
UUGGUUUUUCUUGCUUCUAGUAUGUAUCAUUUCCUGCAUACACAAGAAACACACCCUAAAAGCACUUUUACAGAAAAAUAAAACAAAACGCAAUAAAAGAAAAAUAAAACAAAAAUAAUUACAACCAAGUCAAAUUCAAUCAAUUCACACUACUAGAAAAAUAAACCUCGAGUCCCCGGCAACGGCGCCAAAAACUUGUUGAC